This 134-nucleotide small RNA is filed under the name Mytilus galloprovincialis (Mediterranean mussel). The record is from RNAcentral. Lineage: Eukaryota; Metazoa; Mollusca; Bivalvia; Mytilida; Mytilidae.
UAUUGACUGGGUGUGAGGGUAAUAGCAAGUUUGUUGUCCCUGAGGUACCAACUAUUGCUCGAGGCAAAGCCGAGAGCAAUAGUUGGUAUGCGAAGGAACAACAAACUUGCUAUUACUCGCACACCCAGUCAUUA